AUUGAAGAGAGACUUCCACAGUCGGUAAUAGAUUAUUUGUCAUCAUUUGCAAUCACGACUACUCUAUAUGUUGGUGCUGGUGGGAGUGGAGCAGUAAUUUCUGACGAGACGAGAUUUCCAUGCCUUAAAACCACCACCACCAUUUGGAAUUGACACUUUUAUUCUCUGUGAUCUCCCUGAGCAAGCCGCGGGUCUUAUCUACAGCGGCACCGAAAUUGAGCUUGGUUUUAAAUUUGGUGGGUAGUAUAUUUAUAGUACCACCUGAGCAAGCCAUAUCAGUCGCCGAAGUUGGAGUAGGCUGGCAUGGAAUUGCUUUCCUGCAUGGAAGUAAUAGAAAGGAAUUGGGGAACUGUGGAAGAAGAGAGGUGGGAACGUGGG
This 378-nucleotide unclassified non-coding RNA is filed under the name Hevea brasiliensis (rubber tree). Lineage: Eukaryota; Viridiplantae; Streptophyta; Magnoliopsida; Malpighiales; Euphorbiaceae. The record is from RNAcentral.